RNAcentral lists this long non-coding RNA (449 nucleotides) under Salmo salar (Atlantic salmon). RNAcentral's name for it is "lncRNA (ENSSSAG00000117526.1)". Lineage: Eukaryota; Metazoa; Chordata; Actinopteri; Salmoniformes; Salmonidae. The record is from RNAcentral.
GUUGUGUUGUGUUGUGUUGUCUAUAGUUUCUCUUAAUGCUAGAGGGUGUUGUGUUGUGUUGUGUUGUCUAUAGUUUCUCUUAAUGCUAGAGGGUGUUGUGUUGUCUAUAGUGUGUCUUAAUGCUAGAGGGUGUUGUGUUGUGUUGUCUAUAGUUUAUCUUAAUGCUAGAGGGUGUUGUGUUGUCUAUAGUUUCUCUUAAUGCUAGAGGGUGUUGUGUUGUGUUGUGUUGUCUAUAGUGUGUCUUAAUGCUAGAGGGUGUUGUGUUGUCUAUAGUGUGUCUUAAUGCUAGAGGGUGUUGUGUUGUCUAUAGUUUAUCUUAAUGCUAGAGGGUGUUGUGUUGUCUAUAGUUUCUCUUAAUGCUAGAGGGUGUUGUAGGGUGUUGUGUUGUCUAUAGUGUGUCUUAAUGCUAGAGGGUGUUGUGUUGUCUAUAGUGUAUCUUAAUGCUAGAG